RNAcentral lists this unclassified non-coding RNA (359 nucleotides) under Hevea brasiliensis (rubber tree). The record is from RNAcentral. Lineage: Eukaryota; Viridiplantae; Streptophyta; Magnoliopsida; Malpighiales; Euphorbiaceae.
AGAAAAUUUGGCCUUCAUUUCAGCACUACUCCGCUCAAGGCUAUCUUGCAUGGCCUUUAACUUGGCUUCCUUCUCUGAUCUUUUUGUACCCCACUCUUCCCUUAGCUUUGCAUCUCUUUUCUGCAUGUACCUCUCAUAGAACUUUCCUCUAGCAUCAUCUGAAAAACUCAGCUCAGAGAAAUUAUGUCUCAGAGAACUGCUAUAGUUCUGAUCUACUGUCUUCAUUGGUGGAGGAGUGCCAAACUUGACAUUAUCACUAGCAUUCACAAUUGGUUCAACCACUGUCUUUUUAUCCUGAACCUGAGCUGGAGAUAUUUCCACUGCUGUCGGUUUUCUGUACUGUGAAUUUAUUGCCUGUU